RNAcentral lists this unclassified non-coding RNA (344 nucleotides) under soil metagenome. Its description in RNAcentral is "partial contains 5.8S ribosomal RNA, internal transcribed spacer 2, and large subunit ribosomal RNA". The stretch from base 1 to 120 matches the Rfam family "5.8S ribosomal RNA", at positions 35 to 154 of the family's 154-position model. The record is from RNAcentral.
GAUGAAGAACGCAGCGAAAUGCGAUAAGUAAUGUGAAUUGCAGAAUUCAGUGAAUCAUCGAAUCUUUGAACGCACAUUGCGCCCGCCAGCAUUCUGGCGGGCAUGCCUGUUCGAGCGUCAUUUCAACCCUCGAGCCCCCCCGGGGGCCUCGGUGUUGGGGGACGGCACACCAGCCGCCCCCGAAAUGCAGUGGCGACCCCGCCGCAGCCUCCCCUGCGUAGUAGCACACACCUCGCACCGGAGCGCGGAGGCGGUCACGCCGUAAAACGCCCAACUUUCUUAGAGUUGACCUCGGAUCAGGUAGGAAUACCCGCUGAACUUAAGCAUAUCCAAUAAGCGGAGGA